CCUACGGGAGGCAGCAGUGGGGAAUCUUGCGCAAUGGACGAAAGUCUGACGCAGCCACGCCGCGUGAGUGAAGAAGGCCUUCGGGUUGUAAAGCUCUGUCGUGUGGGACGAAAAACAUUAGGGUUAAUAGCCUUAGUGUCUGACGGUACCAUGAAAGGAAGCACCGGCUAACUCUGUGCCAGCAGCCGCGGUAAUACAGAGGGUGCAAGCGUUGCUCGGAAUUAUUGGGCGUAAAGGGCAGGUAGGUUGUCCUAUUUGUCUGGGGUGAAAUCCCUGAGCUUAACUCAGGAAGUGCCUCAGAAACGGUAGGACUAGAGUCUUAGAGAGGUUCGUGGAAUUCCCGGUGUAGCGGUGAAAUGCGUAGAGAUCGGGAGGAACACCAGAGGCGAAGGCGACGAACUGGAUAAGUACUGACACUCAACUGCGAAAGCGUGGGGAGCAAACAGGAUUAGAUACCCUGGUAGUCCACGCUGUAAACGAUGGGUACUAGACCUUGUGGGAAUUGACCCCUGCAGAGUCGGAGCUACGCGAGUAGUACCCGCCGUCGGAGGUACGGUCGCGAAGACGUAAACGUUACAAUAGAAGUUAGUAGGCGNGAGAGNGCCGACGGACGACGACGAGGGAGGAGG
This 629-nucleotide ribosomal RNA is filed under the name uncultured bacterium. RNAcentral describes it as "bacterial SSU rRNA". The stretch from base 1 to 543 matches the Rfam family "Bacterial small subunit ribosomal RNA", at positions 338 to 873 of the family's 1533-position model. The record is from RNAcentral.